UCCAUCAUGCCAUUGUAAUACAGGGCAGGAAGGAAGGAGAGCUGAGGAGUGCUGCCAGCUGUAAAUUGCUCUCUUUCUUGCCUGGCUAUGGAAAAUAUAUAGAUACUGGGAAGAUUGUGGUGUCGGAGCAGCUAUAAAACUGUGUCCUGCAUGUCCCAAAUACCCAGCUGAAUAAACUCUCUGCAAAUUGGAAAAUGUGCACAUGAGGAGAAUGCAAAAGAUGUUCUAUGUCAUGUGUGAAAUUCUCAUCUUCAAGAGCAUGAAAUGAAAAUGAAGGACAAACAUUCAAUACUAUCUAGUUAAAAUUGGAGUUCCUUCACACGUCCUCUCCUGUCCAGAUCCACACCAUUUAUACCUCAUUUUAGAAAACAGACUGUAAGCUUCAAGAAUCACCAAAAAAAAAAAAAGAAAGAAAAAAGAAAACAGACUUCUAAAGGAUAAUAACAAAAUGCAUGAAACUAUAACAAGAAAGAAGAAAAACUAUUACAUCAGAGUUAGAUAAACCAACCAACCAAACAAUAAGCAAACAGAAGAUAAAGAGCCAAGCAAAAGCAGAAGAACCUUCCCACUCAUACAGACUGGAAUCCCUGAAAACCACUAAACCAGAAAACAUAAUACAUAUUCAAAAGA
This is a long non-coding RNA of Mastomys coucha (southern multimammate mouse), 630 nucleotides long. RefSeq lists it as uncharacterized. The record is from RefSeq and is a predicted model, not a curated record. The transcript is spliced from 3 exons. Lineage: Eukaryota; Metazoa; Chordata; Mammalia; Rodentia; Muridae.